Molecule: ribosomal RNA, 932 nt
Filed under: uncultured bacterium
Lineage: Bacteria
Description: bacterial SSU rRNA
Rfam family: Bacterial small subunit ribosomal RNA
Source: RNAcentral
AGAGUUUGAUCCUGGCUCAGAACGAACGCUGGCGGCGUGCCUAACACAUGCAAGUCGAACGUGAUUAGAGAGCUUGCUCUUUAUGAAAGUGGCGCACGGGUGAGUAACGCGUAGAUAAUCUACCUGAUGAUCCGGGAUAACAGUUCGAAAGGACUGCUAAUACCUGAUAAGCCCACGGAGUCCUUGGACUCUGCGGGAAAAGGGGGGGAUCGCAAGACCUUCCGUCAUCAGAUGAGUCUGCGUACCAUUAGCUAGUUGGUAGGGUAAAGGCCUACCAAGGCGACGAUGGUUAGCUGGUCUGAGAGGAUGAUCAGCCACACUGGAACUGAGACACGGUCCAGACUCCUACGGGAGGCAGCAGUGGGGAAUUUUGCGCAAUGGGGGAAACCCUGACGCAGCAACGCCGCGUGAGUGAUGAAGGCCCUUGGGUCGUAAAGCUCUGACAGAGGGAAAGAAAUGCAGAGUGGCUAAUAUCCACAUUGCUUGACGGUACCCUCAAAGGAAGCACCGGCUAACUCCGUGCCAGCAGCCGCGGUAAUACGGGGGGUGCAAGCGUUGUUCGGAUUUAUUGGGCGUAAAGCGCGUGUAGGCGGUUUUAUAAGUCUGAUGUGAAAGCCCUGGGCUCAACCCGGGAAGUGCAUUGGAUACUGUAAGACUUGAAUACGGGAGAGGGCAGUGGAAUUCCUAGUGUAGGAGUGAAAUCCGUAGAUAUUAGGAGGAACACCGGUGGCGAAGGCGGCUGCCUGGACCGAUAUUGACGCUGAGACGCGAAAGCGUGGGUAGCAAACAGGAUUAGAUACCCUGGUAGUCCACGCCGUAAACGAUGAGAACUAGGUGUUGCGGGUAUUGACCCCUGCAGUGCCGUAGCUAACGCAUUAAGUUCUCCGCCUGGGAAGUACGGUCGCAAGACUAAAACUCAAAGGAAUUGACGG